GAUGGGUAGGGGAGCGUCGUGUGCCGGGUGAAGCAGCGCCGGAAGGCAGUUGUGGACGGUUCACGAGUGAGAAUGCAGGCAUGAGUAGCGAUUCACACGUGGGAAACGUGUGCGCCGAUUGACUAAGGGUUCCUGGGUCAAGCUGAUCUGCCCAGGGUAAGUCGGGACCUAAGGCGAGGCCGACAGGCGUAGUCGAUGGAUAACCGGUUGAUAUUCCGGUACCCGCUGUGAAGCGUCAAACAUUGAAUCCUCUGAUGCUAAGGCCGUGAAGCCGCCUGCUGAGUCUUCGGACGAGGUGGGAGUGGUGGAGCCGCUGAACCAAGGUGGUAGUAGGUGAGUGAUGGGGUGACGCAGGAAGGUAGUCCAUCCCGGGCGGUGGUAGUCCCGGGGUAAGGGUGUAGGCAGUGUGAUAGGCAAAUCCGUCACAUAUUAAUGCUGAGACCUGAUGCCGAGCCGAUUGUGGUGAAGUGGAUGAUCCUAUGCUGUCGAGAAAAGCCUCUAGCGAGUUUUACGGCGGCCCGUACCCUAAACCGACUCAGGUGGUCAGGUAGAGAAUACCGAGGCGUUCGGGUGAACUAUGGUUAAGGAACUCGGCAAAAUGCCCCCGUAACUUCGGGAGAAGGGGGGCCAUUCCUGGUGAUGAUCUUUACGGUCUGAGCUGGGGGUGGCCGCAGAGACCAGCGAGAAGCGACUGUUUACUAAAAACACAGGUCCGUGCGAAGCCGUAAGGCGAUGUAUACGGACUGACGCCUGCCCGGUGCUGGAACGUUAAGGGGACCGGUUAGUCAUAAUUCGUUGUGGCGAAGCUGAGAACUUAAGCGCCAGUAAACGGCGGUGGUAACUAUAACCAUCCUAAGGUAGCGAAAUUCCUUGUCGGGUAAGUUCCGACCUGCACGAAUGGCGUAACGACUUCUCGACUGUCUCAACCAUAGGCCCGGUGAAAUUGCAUUACGAGUAAAGAUGCUCGUUUCGCGCAGCAGGACGGAAAGACCCCGGGACCUUUACUAUAGUUUGAUAUUGGUGUUCGGUUCGGCUUGUGUAGGAUAGGUGGGAGACUGUGAAGUCACGGCGCCAGCCGUGGUGGAGUCAUUGUUGAAAUACCACUCUGGUCGUGCUGGAUGUCUAACCUGGGUCCGUGAUCCGGAUCAGGGACAGUGUCUGAUGGGUAGUUUAACUGGGGCGGUUGCCUCCUAAAGAGUAACGGAGGCGCCCAAAGGUUCCCUCAGCCUGGUUGGCAAUCAGGUGUUGAGUGUAAGUGCACAAGGGAGCUUGACUGUGAGACUGACGGGUCGAGCAGGAGCGAAAGCUGGGACUAGUGAUCCGGCGGUGGCUUGUGGAAGCGCCGUCGCUCAACGGAUAAAAGGUACCCCGGGGAUAACAGGCUGAUCUUCCCCAAGAGUCCAUAUCGACGGGAUGGUUUGGCACCUCGAUGUCGGCUCGUCGCAUCCUGGGGCUGGAGUCGGUCCCAAGGGUUGGGCUGUUCGCCCAUUAAAGCGGUACGCGAGCUGGGUUUAGAACGUCGUGAGACAGUUCGGUCCCUAUCCGCUGCGCGCGUAGGAGUUUUGAGAAGGGCUGUCCCUAGUACGAGAGGACCGGGACGGACGGACCUCUGGUGUGCCAGUUGUUCUGCCAAGGGCAUGGCUGGUUGGCUACGUUCGGGAGGGAUAACCGCUGAAAGCAUCUAAGCGGGAAGCCUGCUUCGAGAUGAGAACUCCCACC
This 1719-nucleotide ribosomal RNA is filed under the name Streptantibioticus silvisoli. RNAcentral's name for it is "partial 23S ribosomal RNA". It matches the Rfam family "Bacterial large subunit ribosomal RNA", at positions 1223 to 2818 of the family's 2925-position model. Lineage: Bacteria; Bacillati; Actinomycetota; Actinomycetes; Kitasatosporales; Streptomycetaceae. The record is from RNAcentral.